AGAGUUGAUCAUGGCUCAGAACGAACGCUGGUGGCGUGUCUUAUACAUGCAAGUCGAGCGAGGCAGCAAUGCCGAGCGGCGAACGGGUGAGUAACGCGUAAGCAAUCUGCCCCAUAUCAGGAAAUACCCGUGCCAACGCGCGGUUAAUGUCCAGGAGAGUGGCUCCUUGCAUGAGGAGUUGACUAGAGAUUUAUCGGUAUGGGAUGAGCUUGCGUCCGAUUAGCUAGUUGGCGGGGCAACGGCCCACCAAGGCGACGAUCGGUAGCUGGCCUGAGAGGGUGAUCGGCCACAUUGGGACUGAGAUACGGCCCAGACUCCUACGGGAGGCAGCAGUAGGGAAUAUUGCACAAUGGGGGAAACCCUGAUGCAGCAACGCCACGUGUGGGAAGAAGCAUUUCGGUGUGUAAACCACUGUCAUGAGGGAAUAAGGCCCUUAUUCGUAAGGGACUUGAAUGUACCUUGAGAGGAAGCACCGGCAAACUUCGUGCCAGCAGCCGC
Molecule: ribosomal RNA, 498 nt
Filed under: uncultured bacterium
Lineage: Bacteria
Description: bacterial SSU rRNA
Rfam family: Bacterial small subunit ribosomal RNA
Source: RNAcentral